AGAGAGAGACAUGCGCGCAUAUCAAUAAGCGGAGGAAAAGAAACUAACAAGGAUUCCCUUAGUAACGGCGAGUGAAGCGGGAAGAGCUCAAAUUUGAAAUCUUCAAGGUUUUACCUUGACGAAUUGUAGUUUAAAGAAGUGUUUUCUGCUGAAGUUUUGGUAAAAGUUCUUUGGAAUAGGACAUCAUAGAGGGCGAGAAUCCCGUAUUUGACCAUUAUUUUCAGCUUUGUGAUACACUUUCAAAGAGUCGGAUUGUUUGGGAAUGCAGUCCAAAAUGGGUGGUAAAUUUCAUCUAAAGCUAAAUAUUGGCGAGAGACCGAUAGCGAACAAGUACCGUGAGGGAAAGAUGAAAAGAACUUUGAAAAGAGAGUUAAACAGUACGUGAAAUUGUCAAAAGGGAAGCGUUUGACACCAGUGUUGUUUUCUCGAAAAUCAAUUAAAAAUGGCUCGAUUUUGUAUUGCUUGAGACCUUAAAAGCUCACUGUACAUUUUUCGUGUCUUUUUUAAUGCACUUUUCGUUUAACAAGUCAACAUCAGUUUCUUUUGUUGUAAAAGGGUCAUUGGAAGGUGGCUUUCUUUUCGGAGAAAGUGUUUAUAGCCUUUGGCCUCUGCAAUCGGAGAGACUGAGGUCUGCAGCGUAGACUCUUCGGGGUUAGAUACAUUUGUGCUAAGUUAUAGCUUUUUAUAGACAACUUGUUGACUAUAAUUAGUCUUGUAGCUUACUCGCUUAUGCUAUUUUACCUACGCUUAGGAUGUUGAAGAUGUAGCACAUCAU
This 775-nucleotide ribosomal RNA is filed under the name uncultured Neocallimastigales. RNAcentral describes it as "partial large subunit ribosomal RNA". It matches the Rfam family "Eukaryotic large subunit ribosomal RNA", at positions 23 to 620 of the family's 3401-position model. Lineage: Eukaryota; Fungi; Neocallimastigomycota; Neocallimastigomycetes; Neocallimastigales. The record is from RNAcentral.